Armigeres subalbatus is the source of this 741-nucleotide long non-coding RNA. RefSeq lists it as uncharacterized. NCBI's taxonomy places the organism in Eukaryota, Metazoa, Arthropoda, Insecta, Diptera, Culicidae. The transcript has 3 exons. The record is from RefSeq and is a predicted model, not a curated record.
GAAAAAUAAAGCAUUUUCUGUGUUCAUUCGUUAGUGAGUUUGACAAAAUGUCAUGUAGAUGGUACUGUAAUAAAUGCGGCAAUGCGGAAUGCUAAAUGCCAUCCAGAAAGGAUUCUCAAAAGCAGAUUUAUUACCAUGUGCAUUGACUAUACAACUUCUGUGGGACUACAGCCGGAUAUUCGAGCACGAGAUUGGGAUAAUUGAUAAGCCUUAUAUAGACCUUGCUUCGAAAUAGUUAUUAUUUUUAAUUUGGUUUUCUUUUUUUAUAGUUUGGUCCAGCUGACAAACAAUUGUGAUUUUUUUCAGAGGAGAGAAAUUUUUCGACGGAAAUUUCAAAGUGUCGUGUUAAAUUUCGACCGCUUUUUGAAUCAAAUUAAAUUGAAUCUUUUCACAAAACGGAACACGCGUCCAUAUGAUGGAAUGACUCUAAAGUUAAAAUUUAGUAAUGAGUAUUAAUUUCAGAUUUUCCUGCUUUCAGCCUUUUAUGGGACAUCCGUUAAAAGUGCAUGUGGAACAGAACUUCAAUGCGUUUACAGAAACCUACAAUAUCAUGGAGCGCAGCAAACAAUUCCACAUACGUCAUCUGAUGCAUGUGAACUCAGAUGUUAUGGUUAUUAAAUGUUAUGUACAUGUUUCAGGGUUUCAUUCAUUGGCUUUGCUAUUUGCAGGUGAUGCAGCAUAUCGAUUUAUAUACCUCAAUGUAGGGAUAUUCGGAAGUGAAGGAGAUUGUAAUAUAUUGAG